CAGUAAAUUCAUCACAAUGAUACUGCAAAUAUGUCAAUAGGGAUAUUUUUACUAUAGAUAUCAUAUUGAAACUUCAGUAAGUCGUAAGUACACAAAUCCAAUGAGACGUGUGCAGUACAAACAGUUCAUCUAUCCCAAGUUUCAAACAUCAUAACAGAAUAGCAGUAAUUUAAGUUUUGCAGAUGGCAGAAUGAUUAUUCAGGUUGGACCUCAAUUAUUCAUGCAUACAAAAUG
RNAcentral lists this unclassified non-coding RNA (234 nucleotides) under Hevea brasiliensis (rubber tree). The record is from RNAcentral. Lineage: Eukaryota; Viridiplantae; Streptophyta; Magnoliopsida; Malpighiales; Euphorbiaceae.